RNAcentral lists this ribosomal RNA (1450 nucleotides) under uncultured organism. RNAcentral describes it as "SSU rRNA". It matches the Rfam family "Bacterial small subunit ribosomal RNA". The record is from RNAcentral.
AACGCUAGCUACAGGCUUAACACAUGCAAGUCGAGGGGCAUCAGGAAGAAAGCUUGCUUUCUUUGCUGGCGACCGGCGCACGGGUGAGUAACACGUAUCCAACCUGCCCUUUACUCGGGGAUAGCCUUUCGAAAGAAAGAUUAAUACCCGAUAGCAUAAUGAUUCCGCAUGGUUUCAUUAUUAAAGGAUUCCGGUAAAGGAUGGGGAUGCGUUCCAUUAGGUUGUUGGUGAGGUAACGGCUCACCAAGCCUUCGAUGGAUAGGGGUUCUGAGAGGAAGGUCCCCCACAUUGGAACUGAGACACGGUCCAAACUCCUACGGGAGGCAGCAGUGAGGAAUAUUGGUCAAUGGGCGCUAGCCUGAACCAGCCAAGUAGCGUGAAGGAUGAAGGCUCUAUGGGUCGUAAACUUCUUUUAUAUAAGAAUAAAGUGCAGUAUGUAUACUGUUUUGUAUGUAUUAUAUGAAUAAGGAUCGGCUAACUCCGUGCCAGCAGCCGCGGUAAUACGGAGGAUCCGAGCGUUAUCCGGAUUUAUUGGGUUUAAAGGGAGCGUAGGUGGACUGGUAAGUCAGUUGUGAAAGUUUGCGGCUCAACCGUAAAAUUGCAGUUGAUACUGUCAGUCUUGAGUACAGUAGAGGUGGGCGGAAUUCGUGGUGUAGCGGUGAAAUGCUUAGAUAUCACGAAGAACUCCGAUUGCGAAGGCAGCUCACUGGACUGCAACUGACACUGAUGCUCGAAAGUGUGGGUAUCAAACAGGAUUAGAUACCCUGGUAGUCCACACAGUAAACGAUGAAUACUCGCUGUUUGCGAUAUACAGUAAGCGGCCAAGCGAAAGCAUUAAGUAUUCCACCUGGGGAGUACGCCGGCAACGGUGAAACUCAAAGGAAUUGACGGGGGCCCGCACAAGCGGAGGAACAUGUGGUUUAAUUCGAUGAUACGCGAGGAACCUUACCCGGGCUUAAAUUGCAGUGGAAUGAUGUGGAAACAUGUCAGUGAGCAAUCACCGCUGUGAAGGUGCUGCAUGGUUGUCGUCAGCUCGUGCCGUGAGGUGUCGGCUUAAGUGCCAUAACGAGCGCAACCCUUAUCUUCAGUUACUAACAGGUCAUGCUGAGGACUCUGGAGAGACUGCCGUCGUAAGAUGUGAGGAAGGUGGGGAUGACGUCAAAUCAGCACGGCCCUUACGUCCGGGGCUACACACGUGUUACAAUGGGGGGUACAGAAGGCAGCUAGCGGGUGACCGUACGCUAAUCCCAAAAUCCUCUCUCAGUUCGGAUCGAAGUCUGCAACCCGACUUCGUGAAGCUGGAUUCGCUAGUAAUCGCGCAUCAGCCACGGCGCGGUGAAUACGUUCCCGGGCCUUGUACACACCGCCCGUCAAGCCAUGGGAGCCGGGGGUACCUGAAGUACGUAACCGCAAGGAUCGUCCUAGGGUAAAACUGGUGACUGGGGCUAAG